UGAGGAAUAUUGGUCAAUGGGCGAGAGCCUGAACCAGCCAAGUAGCGUGCAGGAUGACGGCCCUAUGGGUUGUAAACUGCUUUUAUAUGGGGAUAAAGUUAGUUACGUGUAACUAUUUGCAGGUACCAUAUGAAUAAGGACCGGCUAAUUCCGUG
This 155-nucleotide ribosomal RNA is filed under the name uncultured bacterium. RNAcentral's name for it is "partial 16S ribosomal RNA". It matches the Rfam family "Bacterial small subunit ribosomal RNA", at positions 355 to 507 of the family's 1533-position model. The record is from RNAcentral.